UACGUAGGGUGCGAGCGUUGUCCGGAAUUAUUGGGCGUAAAGAGCUCGUAGGCGGUGUGUCGCGUCGGCCGUGAAAACCUGCAGCUUAACUGUGGGCUUGCGGUCGAUACGGGCAUCACUGGAGUUCGGCAGGGGAGACUGGAAUUCCUGGUGUAGCGGUGAAAUGCGCAGAUAUCAGGAGGAACACCGGUGGCGAAGGCGGGUCUCUGGGCCGAUACUGACGCUGAGGCGCGAAAGCGUGGGGAGCGAACAGG
RNAcentral lists this ribosomal RNA (254 nucleotides) under uncultured bacterium. Its description in RNAcentral is "partial 16S ribosomal RNA". It matches the Rfam family "Bacterial small subunit ribosomal RNA", at positions 524 to 776 of the family's 1533-position model. The record is from RNAcentral.